This 936-nucleotide ribosomal RNA is filed under the name Chattonella marina complex sp. RNAcentral describes it as "partial 28S ribosomal RNA". It matches the Rfam family "Eukaryotic large subunit ribosomal RNA", at positions 43 to 885 of the family's 3401-position model. The record is from RNAcentral. Lineage: Eukaryota; Raphidophyceae; Chattonellales; Chattonellaceae.
UAAUUAAGCGGAGGAAAAGAAACCAACUCGGAUUCCCCUAGUAACGGCGAGUGAAGCGGGAAGAGCUCAUGUUGUAAAUCUGGAUGAGGAUUCCUCGUCCCGAAUUGUAGUCUAGAGAUGCGUGCUCAGCUACUCUCCAGGGCUAAGUCUGUUUGUGAAAGACAGCAUCAUGGACGGUGAUAAUCCGGUUCUUGCCUUGGAUGUUGUAGCGUCUUGAGCCGUCCUCAACGAGUCGAGUUGCUUGGGAUUGCAGCUCUAAGCGGGUGGUAAAUUCCAUCUAAAGCUAAAUAUUGGUGGGAGACCGAUAGCGAACAAGUACCGUGAGGGAAAGAUGAAAAGAACUUUGAAAAGAGAGUUAAAUAGUACCUGAAACUGCUGAAAGGGAAGCGAAUGAAGUCAGUGUUGCUCUUUGUUCUCUGCAUCCUCCCUGCGGGGAUUGUGUAUCGAGGACUUUGAGCUUGUCAGGAUGAGUUCUCUGCCGCGGGAUAUGGUUUGUGAGCUGGACGCUUCUGCUGAACUCACUCUCUCUGUCGUGGCUUGGACUGAGGUUCCAUCUUGCCGUUGCCUGCUUGUUGCUCUCCUGUUGCUGUUUCCGUCCUACUGCUUGCAGUGUUCGGUUGCAGUGAUUGGACUGUGCAAGUUAUGCAUGCAAGGUCAGGAUCCUGACGAAAUGGCUUUAUUUACCCCGUCUUGAAACACGGACCAAGGAGUCUAACAUACGUGCGAGUACUUUGGUGACAAACCAAUGUGCGCAAUGAAAGUAAAGGCUGGCUUCCGUCAGCUGAGGUGGGAUCCUUAUGGAGCACCAUCGACCGACCAUUAUUCCUUCGGGAUAAAGGUUUGAGUGUGAGCAUUUAUGUUGGGACCCGAAAGAUGGUGAACUAUGCCUGAAUAGGGCGAAGCCAGGGGAAACUCUGGUGGAGGCUCGUAGCGAUU